This 840-nucleotide ribosomal RNA is filed under the name Xanthoparmelia coloradoensis. RNAcentral describes it as "eukaryotic LSU rRNA". It matches the Rfam family "Eukaryotic large subunit ribosomal RNA", at positions 81 to 936 of the family's 3401-position model. The record is from RNAcentral. Lineage: Eukaryota; Fungi; Ascomycota; Lecanoromycetes; Lecanorales; Parmeliaceae.
CAGUAACGGCGAGUGAAGCGGCAACAGCUCAAAUUUGAAAUCUGGCUCCUUCGGGGUCCGAAUUGUAAUUUGUAGAGAGUGCUUCGGGCGAGACCUCGGUCUAAGUCCAUUGGAACAUGGUGUCAUAGAGGGUGAGAAUCCCGUAUGCGACCGUGGCUCGAGCCCAUGUGAAGCCUCUUCGACGAGUCGAGUUGUUUGGGAAUGCAGCUCAAAAUGGGUGGUAAAUUUCAUCUAAAGCUAAAUACUGGCUGGAGACCGAUAGCGCACAAGUAGAGUGAUCGAAAGAUGAAAAGCACUUUGGAAAGAGAGUCAAACAGUACGUGAAAUUGUUGAAAGGGAAGCGCUUGCAACCAGACCUGCCCGUAGGCGAUCAGCCGCUGUUCUCAGCGGUGUACUCGCUCUGCGAUCAGGCCAGCAUCGGUUUCGGCGGUCGGAUAAAGGCCUUGGGAAUGUAGCUUCCCUCCGGGGGAGUCUUAUAGCCCUCGGUGCAAUGCGGCCAGCCGGGACCGAGGACCGCGCUUCGGCUAGGAUGCUGGCGUAAUGGUUGUAAGCGACCCGUCUUGAAACACGGACCAAGGAGUCUAACAUCUAUGCGAGUGUUUGGGUGUCAAACCCAUACGCGGAAUGAAAGUGAACGGAGGUGAGAACCCUUAAGGGCGCAUCAUCGACCGAUCCAGAUGUCUUCGGAUGGAUUUGAGUAUGAGCAUAGCUGUUGGGACCCGAAAGAUGGUGAACUAUGCCUGAAUAGGGUGAAGCCAGAGGAAACUCUGGUGGAGGCUCGCAGCGGUUCUGACGUGCAAAUCGAUCGUCAAAUUUGGGUAUAGGGGCGAAAGACUAAUC